UGUUAUUCUAUGAAAAAGAGUUUUAAGUUUUCAAAAUUCAAGUUGGAUUCAACUUAGGGUCAAACGGUGUUUUCAAAAAUCAUGAAGUCCAUUUUUGACCACUCAACUAUCACCUCGGUUUGGUUUCGACAAUUGAAUACUAAAAUCAGAAAUCUUUGACCAUUCAACUAUCAAAACCAUUUACAUUUCGCCAUUUGGUGAUUUUGAUCGGUAGUUUUACUGACGUGGCUGACAUAUGGCAGUGGGCUCCACAUGUUAGCUUGUUUACCUCUUUUCUCUCCUCUUUCUCCCUUCCUUCCCCCCUCUCUCCUCUCUCCUGC
This 320-nucleotide long non-coding RNA is filed under the name Setaria viridis. Its description in RNAcentral is "long non-coding RNA (SVIR_LNC003454)". Lineage: Eukaryota; Viridiplantae; Streptophyta; Magnoliopsida; Poales; Poaceae. The record is from RNAcentral.